AUUGAACGCUGGCGGCAGGCCUAACACAUGCAAGUCGAGCGGCAGCGGGAAAGUAGCUUGCUACUUUUGCCGGCGAGCGGCGGACGGGUGAGUAAUGCCUGGGAAAUUGCCCAGUCGAGGGGGAUAACAGUUGGAAACGACUGCUAAUACCGCAUACGCCCUACGGGGGAAAGCAGGGGACCUUCGGGCCUUGCGCGAUUGGAUAUGCCCAGGUGGGAUUAGCUAGUUGGUGAGGUAAUGGCUCACCAAGGCGACGAUACCUAGCUGGUCUGGGAGGAUGAUCAGCCACACUGGAACGGAGACACGGUCCAGACUCCUACGGGAGGCAGCAGUGGGGAAUAUUGCACAAUGGGGGAAACCCUGAUGCAGCCAUGCCGCGUGUGUGAAGAAGGCCUUCGGGUUGUAAAGCACUUUCAGCGAGGAGGAAAGGUUGAUGCCUAAUACGUAUCAACUGUGACGUUACUCGCAGAAGAAGCACCGGCUAACUCCGUGCCAGCCGCCGCCGUAA
This 508-nucleotide ribosomal RNA is filed under the name uncultured bacterium. RNAcentral's name for it is "partial 16S ribosomal RNA". It matches the Rfam family "Bacterial small subunit ribosomal RNA", at positions 30 to 523 of the family's 1533-position model. The record is from RNAcentral.